GCCGGGCAUGGUGUUGCGUGCCUGCAGUCCCAGCUACUCGGGAGGCUGCGGUGGGAGGAUCGCUUGAGCCCAGGAGUUCUGGGCUGUAGUGCGCUGUGCCGAUCAGGUGUCUGCACUGUUUGGCAUCAAUAUGGUGACCUCCCAGGAGUGGGGGAACCACCAGGUUGCCUAACGUGGGGUUAACCCGCCCAGGUCAGAAAUGGAGCAGGUCAAAACUCCCGUGCUGAUCAGUAGUGGGACUGUACCCGUGAAGAGCCACUGCACUCCAUCCUGGGCAACAUAGCAAGACCCCAUCUCCA
Unclassified non-coding RNA from Callithrix jacchus (white-tufted-ear marmoset), 299 nucleotides. It matches the Rfam family "Metazoan signal recognition particle RNA". Rfam says of the family: The signal recognition particle (SRP) is a universally conserved ribonucleoprotein. It is involved in the co-translational targeting of proteins to membranes. The eukaryotic SRP consists of a 300-nucleotide 7S RNA and six proteins: SRPs 72, 68, 54, 19, 14, and 9. NCBI's taxonomy places the organism in Eukaryota, Metazoa, Chordata, Mammalia, Primates, Cebidae. The record is from Ensembl.